Molecule: long non-coding RNA, 1482 nt
Filed under: Lepidothrix coronata (blue-crowned manakin)
Lineage: Eukaryota; Metazoa; Chordata; Aves; Passeriformes; Pipridae
Description: lncRNA (ENSLCOG00000011274.1)
Source: RNAcentral
CUGAUGCACCUGCAGGAGAGUGAGGAGAAAAGGAAGUCAAUUGCAAGCCAGGACAGCCUUGGAACUGGGUGAGGAAGAGUAAUUUUUCAGGAAGUUGAAGGUAAUGUUUUAAGCUUACUUAGUGGUUGUGAGUCUGGGGUGGAGGACUCAGAGCACAGCCUGGGGUCCUCUGGGUGGUACAGGGCUGUGUAGAGCGGAUGUGGGGAGGCUUAAACAGCUCAGUGGGAGCUGAAAGCUACCAUCAGCAUGUUUAUUCCUGCUUGAACAGAGAAUCUUAGGUAGACUUUCCCACCUCAAGACUGAAGAUAGUUAAGUGGUGACAGGGCAACACUGGAAGUCUGUUACUAACAUUGGACUGAGGUUUAGACCAGGCCCCAAGUUUGUUAGUUAGAGGAUUAACACAGCUGAAUCAGUAGAUAGAGAUGGUUAUGGUUGUUUCAAAUCUAUCUACCUCCCCGUUCAAUGGGAUCAGCUUGCAGACAGCACCAUGUUACUGCAGACACAGCUAUGCUGUUUGAAGCAGCUCAUUCCCUCUCUCUCCUCCCUCUGUCACUCUUCCCUCUCCAUGCCUUGCUUCCUAGCCUGGCUUCCUGCUUUCAGGGCUGUCCCUCACCCAAGGGGAGUGGGAAGGCUGCUGCAACAUGGAUGGAUGCUGCAAAACUCUCAUCCUCUGAGAAAGAUUGCAGACAGCCACUGCUAUGCCCAGGCAGGAUUAUCAUCUUGCAGGGGAAAGAUAUUGGUGUCUUUUGCUUUUGUCUGUGUGCAUGAGCCCAGCCACCUGGGUCCUUCAAGUCUAAUGAUAUUGUUUCAUUUCAGGACAGGACAAGGAGCUUUUUGCCCUUAACAAUCCUGACUUUGCUGCUGUGGUUCCAGGCCAGCUCUACGACUGCACGGGCCUGUGCUGUCCCCUGGGAAGGGUCCUCCUGCCAUGCUGGCUGCUGGUGACCUUGCAGGGAACAUGGAGCUGCUGGCUGUCAUGGCACCAGAGGAAACAGGAAAGGAUGCAACAGCAUCACAAGCUGAGGUGGAAGGAGUAGAAAAAGCAGCAGCAACAGGGGAGGUGGAAAGCCCAGCGAGAACAGGUCUGUGUGGAAAGGUGGUCAUUCCUGAAGGAGCAAAGGAGACAAUGGUGGAAGUAUCAGAAAAAACAGAGGCAGAAAGAGAUGCUGAAGCAUUUGCCCGGGCAGCAGAAAGAAUUGCUGUAUCAGAAGUAGCCAAGGUGUUGCAGGCAGCAAUAGCUGAGCUCAAAAGGAAGAGGAAGAGCAUGUGGAUAAAUCCGAGGAACGCCACUCAGCAGGAGGAGGAUUGUGUGAAAGAGGGAGAGGUGAAAUGAAACUGAGAAGAGGUGGUGUUCUGGGUCAUACCUCCUAAUGAGGGGCUGGUACCUGACACUGUGACCACUCCUGGAACACAAUAGGGCACAGUCGCAUCUUUUUUGUGACUGACUAUACUAUUAAAAAUAAAUAUAUGGCAUAUUCUGCA